UGUUCACUGUGAACUCAUAUCUGGAAGCAAAAACUUGAUUCGAGAGAUCCACAGACAUCUGCCUCCGAACUUAAGAAAAAAAUUUUGGAUGCACGCUUCUGAAUGAAGCCCACAUUUACGAUGGCUAUUCAAUUAACGUUGGGGCUUUAAAAUAAUCGGGAUCAAAGUGCCUAAGCCAAUCAGUAUUUUCAAGAGUACGUUCAAUCAUGCAUGAAUUCGAAGUCAACCAAAUAAUGAAAUAUUUUCUGGAUAAGAAGAAGGAAUUUCAGCCGUGAAGGAGGAGAAGAAAAGAAAUCAUUUUGAGUACCUACAUACAGUCAAAUUAGACAAAAAUUCAGAAAAAGUGUAAACAGAAUUUUCUUCGUAAUUAACAUCGAAAGUUUUUUGCUUCAAAUAUUUCUGAUCUAAAGUAUGGUCACCGUUGUGAAGAGAUCAAUGCACCUUUAAAGAUUAAACAUAAUUCGAAUUCAAGUUGACGAAUGACAACGCGCAAAGACGAAGAAACCCCAAGUGACGCGAUGAUCUUUAUAGAACGCGUCUCCCUUCUUAUCAAACUUACUGAAUAUAAUCAGUUCAUUAUUUAAUGACUGCGAGUGACAAAUUUUAAAAGCUUGGAAAUGUAACUGCAACAAAAAAAAUGUACUGAAUUUCAGAGCAUUUGCAUAAACUUGAGUGCAUUUUAGCCUUGAUCUUAAAAAAAUUUCAUGCAUUUAUAUAAGGAAGGCAGAGAGACGAACUAACUGGGUUUUGAUUUUACCUUGAUUUUCAGUUGACUUUGAUCCUUUCGGAACCGAAAAGUUAAAUUAAACAUCCAC
This is a long non-coding RNA of Episyrphus balteatus (marmalade hoverfly), 815 nucleotides long. RefSeq lists it as uncharacterized. The transcript has 3 exons. The record is from RefSeq and is a predicted model, not a curated record. Lineage: Eukaryota; Metazoa; Arthropoda; Insecta; Diptera; Syrphidae.